Molecule: long non-coding RNA, 523 nt
Organism: Magnolia sinica
Lineage: Eukaryota; Viridiplantae; Streptophyta; Magnoliopsida; Magnoliales; Magnoliaceae
Exons: 3
Source: RefSeq, a predicted model, not a curated record
UCGAGCGGCGUAUUCUUCCUUCGAGCGGCGUCUUCUUCCAUCAAUCUUCCAUUGUUGCGAUAGGGUGUUGGGCUUCAGGUUGAACGUGCAGCGGCGAAAUUCCAAUUCCACUGUCAUACUCAACUCAAUGCAUUUUGGGUUGUCGGUUGGAUUGCUUAGGCAAGCUACAUACACAACAACACGACUUGGGUCAUUUAGGAAUAUAAUCCUAUUUGUUAGAAGUCCACUUCUCUUGCUGCAGAUAAGAACUUGCUUCAUCAGGUAUAAUUUGUAUUAAUUUAACUUGAAACUCCUCAGAAUGCGCUCUGCCGUAAGAUAUUACAGUGCAUGACGGUUCCCAAUAGGUUAAGUUGCAAGUUGUUACAUAAAGUUGGUUGGAUAUCUUUUAUUUUUAUAAAUGUUGUCAAUAGUUAGUUGGAUGAUGAAUUAGGUGUAUAAACGUGUGCCUACCUAUAGUCUUGCUUAAUUUAUAUUUAUAUUUCUUCAUUUAUAUUCUUUUGUAUUAAUUCAACUUGUAACUCCU